Molecule: long non-coding RNA, 278 nt
Filed under: Hordeum vulgare
Lineage: Eukaryota; Viridiplantae; Streptophyta; Magnoliopsida; Poales; Poaceae
Description: long non-coding RNA (HVUL_LNC004700)
Source: RNAcentral
UCCGGUAUUAGAGAACUUAAACAUAAACUAAUAAAAUUGGCAACCGUGUGCGUAACCGUGACUGUCGCUUCGAAGAUCUCUCUUCGAUCGGGAACACGGUGGGGUUAUGAAUGCCGUAGGUAGGUGUUCAGGAUCACUUACUGAUCAAGUAGUUCUGACCGCUAGUGUAGACCACCUUCAUUUCUACUUUGCGUAAGUUAGCCACCUAAUCAAGCUUAGGAUGAUGCAGCCUGAUACACUUCACCCUUACCCUACCUAAUAACAUGACUAGUUCUGGC